Molecule: ribosomal RNA, 253 nt
Filed under: uncultured bacterium
Lineage: Bacteria
Description: partial 16S ribosomal RNA
Rfam family: Bacterial small subunit ribosomal RNA
Source: RNAcentral
UACGCAGGGGGCUAGCGUUGCUCGGACUCACUGGGCGUAACGCGCACGUAGGCGGCUUUUUAAGUCCGGGGUGAAAUCCUGGAGCUCAACUCCAGAACUGCCUUUGAUACUGAGAAGCUUGAGUCCGGGAGAGGUGAGUGGAACUGCGAGUGUAGAGGUGAAAUUCGUAGAUAUUCGCAAGAACACCAGUGGCGAAGGCGGCUCUCUGGGACGGUACUGACGCUGAGACGCGAAAGCGUGGGGAGCGAACAGG